RNAcentral lists this transfer RNA (75 nucleotides) under Clostridia bacterium. RNAcentral describes it as "tRNA-Gln". It matches the Rfam family "tRNA". From Rfam's summary of the family: Transfer RNA (tRNA) molecules are approximately 80 nucleotides in length. Their secondary structure includes four short double-helical elements and three loops (D, anti-codon, and T loops). Further hydrogen bonds mediate the characteristic L-shaped molecular structure. tRNAs have two regions of fundamental functional importance: the anti-codon, which is responsible for specific mRNA codon recognition, and the 3' end, to which the tRNAs corresponding amino acid is attached (by aminoacyl-tRNA synthetases). tRNAs cope with the degeneracy of the genetic code in two manners: having more than one tRNA (with a specific anti-codon) for a particular amino acid; and 'wobble' base-pairing, i.e. permitting non-standard base-pairing at the 3rd anti-codon position. Lineage: Bacteria; Bacillati; Bacillota; Clostridia. The record is from RNAcentral.
AGGGGCAUCGCCAAGCGGUAAGGCCACGGACUCUGACUCCGUUAUUCAUAGGUUCAAAUCCUAUUGCCCCUGCCA